GAUGAACGCUGGCGGCGUGCCUAAUACAUGCAAGUCGAGCGAACAGAUGAGGAGCUUGCUCCUCUGACGUUAGCGGCGGACGGGUGAGUAACACGUGGAUAACCUACCUAUAAGACUGGGAUAACUUCGGGAAACCGGAUCUAAUACCGGAUAAUAUAUUGAACCGCAUGGUUCAAUAGUGAAAGACGGUUUUGCUGUCACUUAUAGAUGUAGCCGGGCCGCAUUAGCUAGUUGGUAAGGUAAAGGCAUACCAAGGCGACGAUGCGUAGCCGACCGGAGAGGGUGGUCGGCCACACUGGAACGGAGACACGGUCCAGACUCCUACGGGAGGCAGCAGUAGGGAAUCUUGAGCAAGGGGCGAAAGACUGACGGAGCAACGCCGCGUGAGUGAUGAAGGUCUUCGGAUCGGAAAACUAUGUUAUUAGGAAAGAACAAAUGUGUAAGUAACUAUGAACGUAUUGACGGUACCGAAAGAAAAAGCCACGGCUAACUACGUG
RNAcentral lists this ribosomal RNA (497 nucleotides) under uncultured bacterium. Its description in RNAcentral is "partial 16S ribosomal RNA". It matches the Rfam family "Bacterial small subunit ribosomal RNA", at positions 28 to 507 of the family's 1533-position model. The record is from RNAcentral.